GCAGUCGCCACGGUAAUACGAAGGGUGCAAGCGUUAAUCGGAAUUACUGGGCGUAAAGCGUGCGUAGGCGGUUUGUUAAGUCUGCUGUGAAAUCCCCGGGCUCAACCUGGGAAUGGCAGUGGAUACUGGCAAGCUAGAGUGUGUCAGAGGAUGGUGGAAUUCCCGGUGUAGCGGUGAAAUGCGUAGAGAUCGGAAGGAACAUCUGUGGCGAAGGCGACUAUCUGGGCCAACACUGACACUGAGACACGAAAGCGUGGGGAGCAAACAGGAUUAGAUACCCGUGUAGUCCCUGUCUCUUAUAC
This 302-nucleotide ribosomal RNA is filed under the name uncultured bacterium. Its description in RNAcentral is "partial 16S ribosomal RNA". It matches the Rfam family "Bacterial small subunit ribosomal RNA", at positions 508 to 807 of the family's 1533-position model. The record is from RNAcentral.